AAGUCGUAACAAGGUUUCCGUAGGUGAACCUGCGGAAGGAUCAUUAACACGUAUCCACGUUUAUAACCCGAGAACUCUUAGGCAGCUGAUUUGAGAACAGCUUCAUGAAGGUCUCAUCUCUCUCGGGAGCUGAAAUCUUCUGGAGCCUGCUCUAUUCUUUGCUUAGCGGCCGAGUCUAGAGCUAUUGAAUCUGCUCCUUCGAACUCCUUCAGGGACAAAUCUUCGGAGGCGUCCCUGAAGGCUACUUGAAACCCCUUUUUCUAAAUAAAGGCCGUCUCUUUGCAGACCGCUUUUAACCGAAUGCUGUACAACUCUUAGCAACGGAUAUCUUGGUUCUG
This 338-nucleotide unclassified non-coding RNA is filed under the name fungal sp. RNAcentral's name for it is "partial internal transcribed spacer region". The stretch from base 1 to 46 matches the Rfam family "Eukaryotic small subunit ribosomal RNA", at positions 1786 to 1831 of the family's 1831-position model. The record is from RNAcentral. Lineage: Eukaryota; Fungi.